Molecule: ribosomal RNA, 333 nt
Filed under: Triticum aestivum (bread wheat)
Lineage: Eukaryota; Viridiplantae; Streptophyta; Magnoliopsida; Poales; Poaceae
Description: partial small subunit ribosomal RNA
Source: RNAcentral
AUGAGAGAAAGCCAGAGAUCAGAGCACUGGAUGUCAUGUCUCAAUUUUCGCUCAUCUGUUACAGGGACCGAACGGAGGCAGAGCAAGGUUGCGGAGAAGGGCUCAAGUCCGUCAGCAUGGAGGCGGGGUCGGCUGAGACGAGAGUCCAGUCUUGAAAAGGUGCAAACCGCAACUGCACUGACUGGCUAUAGGCACGUGUGCACACGCCACGCUGAGGACUUGCACGGCCAAGGAGAUACAUUGAUGGACAUCUUCUUGUCCCAAUGCCUCUCAAGCCAACUAAUGGACAUGUCAACGAACUACCAAAAGAGAAUAUUGGUUUCAUCAUUUUGA